GUUAGCGGCGGACGGGUGAGUAACACGUGGGUAACCUACCUAUAAGACUGGGAUAACUUCGGGAAACCGGAGCUAAUACCGGAUAACAUUUGGAACCGCAUGGUUCUAAAGUGAAAGAUGGUUUUGCUAUCACUUAUAGAUGGACCCGCGCCGUAUUAGCUAGUUGGUAAGGUAACGGCUUACCAAGGCAACGAUACGUAGCCGACCUGAGAGGGUGAUCGGCCACACUGGAACUGAGACACGGUCCAGACUCCUACGGGAGGCAGCAGUAGGGAAUCUUCCGCAAUGGGCGAAAGCCUGACGGAGCAACGCCGCGUGAGUGAUGAAGGGUUUCGGCUCGUAAAACUCUGUUAUUAGGGAAGAACAAACGUGUAAGUAACUAUGCACGUCUUGACGGUACCUAAUCAGAAAGCCACGGCUAACUACGUGCCAGCAGCCGCGGUAAUACGUAGGUGGCAAGCGUUAUCCGGAAUUAUUGGGCGUAAAGCGCGCGUAGGCGGUUUCUUAAGUCUGAUGUGAAAGCCCACGGCUCAACCGUGGAGGGUCAUUGGAAACUGGGAAACUUGAGUGCAGAAGAGGAAAGUGGAAUUCCAUGUGUAGCGGUGAAAUGCGCAGAGAUAUGGAGGAACACCAGUGGCGAAGGCGACUUUCUGGUCUGUAACUGACGCUGAUGUGCGAAAGCGUGGGGAUCAAACAGGAUUAGAUACCCUGGUAGUCCACGCCGUAAACGAUGAGUGCUAAGUGUUAGG
This 749-nucleotide ribosomal RNA is filed under the name Staphylococcus saprophyticus. Its description in RNAcentral is "bacterial SSU rRNA". It matches the Rfam family "Bacterial small subunit ribosomal RNA", at positions 91 to 827 of the family's 1533-position model. Lineage: Bacteria; Bacillati; Bacillota; Bacilli; Caryophanales; Staphylococcaceae. The record is from RNAcentral.